RNAcentral lists this ribosomal RNA (564 nucleotides) under uncultured bacterium. Its description in RNAcentral is "bacterial SSU rRNA". It matches the Rfam family "Bacterial small subunit ribosomal RNA", at positions 338 to 917 of the family's 1533-position model. The record is from RNAcentral.
CCUACGGGAGGCAGCAGUGGGGAAUCUUGCGCAAUGGGCGAAAGCCUGACGCAGCAACGCCGCGUGCGGGAAGAAGGCUUUCGGGCUGUAAACCGCUUUCAGCAGGAACGAAAAUGACGGUACCUGCAGAAGAAGGAGCGGCCAACUAUGUGCCAGCAGCCGCGGUGAUACAUAGGCUUCAAGCGUUGUCCGGAUUUAUUGGGCGUAAAGAGUUCGUAGGCGGUCAAGUAAGUCGGGUGUGAAAAUUCUGGGCUCAACCCAGAGACGCCACCCGAUACUGCUUAACUUGAGUUCGAUAGGGGAGUGGGGAAUUCCUAGUGUAGCGGUGAAAUGCGCAGAUAUUAGGAGGAACACCGGUGGCGAAGGCGCCACUCUGGAUCGAUACUGACGCUGAGGAACGAAAGCAUGGGUAGCAAACAGGAUUAGAUACCCUGGUAGUCCAUGCCGUAAACGGUGGGCACUAGGUGUGGGUUUCUAUUAACGAAAUCCGCGCCGUCGCUAACGCAUUAAGUGCCCCGCCUGGGGAGUACGGUCGCAAGACUAAAACUCAAAGGAAUUGAACGG